GACGAACGCUGGCGGCGUGCUUAACACAUGCAAGUCGAACGGUGAACCAGAGCUUGCUCUGGGGAUCAGUGGCGAACGGGUGAGUAACACGUGGGCAACCUGCCCCAGACUCUGGGAUAACCUCGGGAAACCGAUGCUAAUACCGGAUACGACCACUUCGGACAUCCGACGGUGGUGGAAAGUUUUUCGGUCUGGGAUGGGCCCGCGGCCUAUCAGCUAGUUGGUGGGGUAAUGGCCUACCAAGGCGACGACGGGUAGCCGGCCUGAGAGGGCGACCGGCCACACUGGAACUGAGACACGGUCCAGACUCCUACGGGAGGCAGCAGUGAGGAAUAUUGCACAAUGGGCGAAAGCCUGAUGCAGCGACGCCGCGUGAGGGACGACGGCCUCGGUUGUAA
Molecule: ribosomal RNA, 398 nt
Filed under: uncultured bacterium
Lineage: Bacteria
Description: bacterial SSU rRNA
Rfam family: Bacterial small subunit ribosomal RNA
Source: RNAcentral